Panicum hallii is the source of this 4798-nucleotide long non-coding RNA. RefSeq lists it as uncharacterized. The record is from RefSeq and is a predicted model, not a curated record. NCBI's taxonomy places the organism in Eukaryota, Viridiplantae, Streptophyta, Magnoliopsida, Poales, Poaceae. The transcript has 14 exons.
UCUGUCCGAGCAGCCGCCGCCGCCGCCUGUGCCAUGCCCUGCGCUGCCGCCUCCUCAUGCCACAGCACCGGGGUCCAGCCAUGAACACCGACCGCGUCGCGCCACGCCGCCGCCGGUCUGAUGGCCGAGCCGCUGCCGGGCGUAGCCGCGCGCUGUGAGCGCCGUGGGCGCCGGCCGCAGCUGCGCGGCCCGAGCGCCAUUGCCUGCACCGCUUCCUCUUGGUCACCAUGCGCCGCGCAACCCGACCACGGCCAGCGCGUGCGCCGCGUGCCUCGCCGGCCGCCGCGUGCGGGCCGGUGCACCGCCGGUCACGGCCGCCAGCGCUGCUACCAGCCCUCCGUUCGGCUUGGGGCCUCGGUCCCCGUUGCUCCUGAUGCAGCGUGCGCUGCGAGUGCCGCUGGCCGUGCGAGAUGCCAGUGCCACACUGAGCCCCACGGGACGCGCUCGUCCUCAUGCGCUGCCGCGGGCACUCGGGUCCCGACCGGCCUGCGUGUCCAUAGACGCCGUGGCCUUCUAAUGCCGUGGUCCAUGACAUGCUGUCGAGUUGCUCAAUUGGGUGCCUCGUUCGGCGCCCAGCUCUUGUGGCUCUAGCCUGUGGCCAGAGGCCUCGACGAGGGUGAAGUCGGUCACCGCGCGAGGCUCCGUAUGCCCGCGUAGCGUACGGUGGUUCACCGGCGACCACGCGCGGUACAUCAAGAUGCCACGCGCAGCACCGUCGAGUAGACAAAAAUAGUAGACAGGAACUAAUUUGGGGAGAAACCAAAACCCUGAUUCAGUAAUUGCUUAACUUAAUCAUCAAUUAACGAUGAGGCAUGGGACAUGACAUGAUGGACGCUGCGAUCCGCAUCGAGGCAUGGGACACGACGACGGAGGUGGCGCUGAAGCCAUCCAGGGCGAUCGUGCAGGUGCUCGAUCCGUGCGUGCGCCUUGCCCGCAGCAUGCCGUUUCGAGCCAGUGGAAAUGCUCCUUUUUAUGAAGAUGUCGUCAGAGGAAUUAAAUCUAUUAAUUUGUUCACAUUGCACGUUCCAUUUUCAUUCAUUGAAUGGUAUGAUGGAGAACUUGCUAUCGUCCAGGAUGAGGACCCCAGUGUAUACAAUGAACUACUGCAUUCUGUUAUUUGAAACACGGUGUUAGAUAAGAAUGUCGCAACAGAGCAUGCAAAACUUGAAAUAGUGGGUUUGCCAGAACCCAAAAGCAUCCAAAAGUUUGUGCGCAUUGUUGAAGAUAAUGAAAUGGUUCUUCCAUACAAACUGCACAACAAUAUUUGGGUAAAUGCGACUACACUGGCUGGAAGAGACAUGGGUCUUGGUUAUUUGAACCAUAUGUUUGAUAAGUUUGAUAUUGGUAAAUGUUGGGGCAGAGGAGAAAAUGAAUGGGAUGAGAACAAUAUGGAAGUAAGAAGCAAAAGGUGUCAUCAAAAAAGAAGCUGAUCAAGAAGUAACUCAAGAUUUGGUUGUAUAUAACUUGCUAAAGUUAUUUGACAUAAUACAACCAUGGUAUAGAGGCAAUACUGUUAAACAAGUUCCUGCAUUUUUCGACAGUCUGCAGCUUGAUAUUCUUACAGCACCUGAUCCAAAGGGUGACCGCCAAACCUGGAUCAGAUAUUCAAAACUUAUGAGAUCAGCACUUGCUCUGAAAGCACCAGCAGUAAGAUCUGGACUGAUCAUCAACUUCUAUAAAGUGCUCCUCUUGCGACUCGUAGUAAGGCCUUUAGACCUUCAAAAACUUCUAAAGAGGCUCAGAGAUAACUGGCGUUUGUGUGCAAGACAACUUGAGCCAUUCUUGCGAGUCUACAUGUACAAUAGUGACAUUUCAGAGAACUUCAUCUAUGAUAAAUGGGAACAGAAUCAUUGGCAUAUCAUGACAUACUCUCGGCACUUUAUUGAGCAUGCUCUUCUUUGCUUAAAGGUUUCGAGCCGGUGGAAAUGCUGCUUUUUAUGAAGGUGUCGUAAGAGGAAUUAAAUCUAUUAAUUUGUUCACAUUGCACGUUCCAUUUUCAUUCAUUGAAUGGUAUGAUGGAGAACUUGCUAUCGUCCAGGAUGAGUACCCCAGUGUAUACAAUGAACUGCUGCAUUCUGUUAUUUCCUUCCUUGUGAAACACGGUAUUGAUAAGAAUGUGGCAACAGAGCAUGCAAAACUUGAAAUAGUGGGUUUGCCAGAACCCAAAAGCACCCAAAAGUUUGUGCGCAUUGUUGAAGAUAAUGAAAUGGUUCUUCCAUACAAACUGCACAACAAUAUUUGGGUAAAUGCGACUACACUGGCUGGAAGAGACAUGGGUCUUGGUUAUUUGAAUCAUAUGUUUGAUAAGUUUAAUAUUGGUAAAUGUUGGGGCAGAGGAGAAAAUGAAUGGGAUGAGAACAAUAUGGAAGUAAGGAGCAAAAGGUGUCAUCAAAAAAGAAGCUGAUCAAGAAGUAACUCAAAAUUUGGUUGUAUAUAACUUGCUAAAGUUAUUUGACAUAAUACAACCAUGGUAUAGAGGCAAUACUGUCAAACAAGUUCCUGCAUUUUUCGACAGUCUGCAGCUUGAUAUUCUUACAGCACCUGAUCCAAAGGGUGACCGCCAAACCUGGAUCAGAUAUUCAAAACUUAUGAGAUCAGCACUUGCUCUGAAAGCACCAGCAGUAAGAUCUGGGCUGAUCAUCAACUUCUAUAAAGUGCUCCUCUUGCGACUCGUAGUAAGGCCUUUAGACCUUCAAAAACUUCUAAAGAGGCUCGGAGAUAACUGGCGUUUGUGUGCAAGACAACUUGAGCUAUUCUUGCGAGUCUACAUGUACAAUAGUGACAUUUCAGAGAACUUCAUCUAUGAUAAAUGGGAACAGAAUCAUUGGCAUAUCAUGACAUACUCUCAGCACUUUAUUGAGCAUGCUCUUCUUUGCUUAAAGGUUUCGAGCCGGUGGAAAUGCUGCUUUUUAUGAAGGUGUCGUAAGAGGAAUUAAAUCUAUUAAUUUGUUCACAUUGCACGUUCCAUUUUAUUCAUUGAAUGGUAUGAUGGAGAACUUGCUAUCGUCCAGGAUGAGUACCCUAGCACCCAAAAGUUUGUGCGCAUUGUUGAAGAUAAUGAAAUGGUUCUUCCAUACAAACUGCACAAUAAUAUUUGGGUAAAUGCGACUACACUGGCUGGAAGAGACAUGGGUCUUGGUUAUUUGAACCAUAUGUUUGAUAAGUUUGAUAUUGGUAAAUGUUGGGGCAGAGGAGAAAAUGAAUGGGAUGAAAACAAUAUGGAAGUAAGGAGCAAAGGGUGUCAUCAAAAAAGAAGCUGAUCAAGAAGUAACUCAAAAUUUGGUUGUAUAUAACUUGCUAAAGUUAUUUGACAUAAUACAACCAUGGUAUAGAGGCAAUACUGUCAAACAAGUUCCUGCAUUUUUCGACAGUCUGCAGCUUGAUAUUCUUACAGCACCUGAUCCAAAAGGGUGACCGCCAAACCUGGAUCAGAUAUUCAAAACUUAUGAGAUCAGCACUUGCUCUGAAAGCACCAGCAGUAAGAUCUGGGCUGAUCAUCAACUUCUAUAAAGUGCUCCUCUUGCGACUCGUAGUAAGGCCUUUAGACCUUCAAAAACUUCUAAAGAGGCUCGGAGAUAACUGGCGUUUGUGUGCAAGACAACUUGAGCCAUUCUUGCGAGUCUACAUGUACAAUAGUGACAUUUCAGAGAACUUCAUCUAUGAUAAAUGGGAACAGAAUCAUUGGCAUAUCAUAACAUACUCUCGGCACUUUAUUGAGCAUGCUCUUCUUUGCUUAAAGGUUUCGAGCCUGUGGAAAUGCUGCUUUUUAUGAAGGUGUCGUAAGAGGAAUUAAAUCUAUUAAUUUGUUCACAUUGCACGUUCCAUUUUCAUUCAUUGAAUGGUAUGAUGGAGAACUUGCUAUCGUCCAGGAUGAGUACCCCAGUGUCUACAAAGAACUACUGCAUUCUGUUAUUUGAAACACGGUGUUGAUAAGAAUGUGGCAACAGAGCAUGCAAAACUUGAAAUAGUGGGUUUGCCAGAACCCAAAAGCACCCAAAAUGUUGGGGCAGCGGAGAAAAUGAAUGGGAUGAGAACAAUAUGGAAGUAAGGAGCAAAGGGUGUCAUCAAGAAGUUAUAUAACUUGCUAAAGUUAUUUGACAUAAUAGAACCAUGGAAACCCUCCAACUAGAAUAGAAAGCAUCGCACACCUUCUGCAUCUCGGACUCAGAUGAAUCCCAUUUGCCAGUGAUGCCACAAUUUGCAGAAAGUGUUCCUUCCUUAUAGAAACUUCAGAGAGACGACCAAAGAGACGAGGCAUCAUGUCCACUAGUGUGUGCUGUAUGGGUUUUAUUAGCACACGCUCUUCCACGCGAUGGGUAGGGAUGUACUUCCAUUCUCGAGCUAUCCUCAGAUUGAUGUAGUUUGUGAAAGCUACCAAUGGACUAGUUUCUUUGGACACCUGACACGCGAUGGGCUUCAUGAGCCCAUUGUAUUAGGCGGGUACCAAUUGGUACCGAGAUUCGAACAUUGGUAACAGCAACGGAGCAGGAAGAGGAUGAGGGGAGGCAGCGGCACGAUGAGACGAGUGAACUGGGGUGGGGGGUGGAGCUGCGCUAGUAGUGCUGCACCUAUCACCUCCGACGCGCCCGGCGAUGGCAGCAAGGACGGUGUGAGUGACGCGGAAACCGGGGGCGGGGAAGGAGGCGGCGGAGCUGCGCUAGCACGGCUAGCACAGCAUGCCUCCUCGAGGGCGUAGAUACUGUCAGACCCGGGGCCACGGGGCUGUGUACGUCAAGGAGUCCGUAUUGGGCUAAGGGAUAGGACAUGUCCUGUACCUUAUUUAUGUUGUAUUCUACCC